CCCCUGCUCACGGGUUGUGGGAGCUCCUGUGUGGGCCUCCGUAUAUUUUUGUUACACUUUAUCCCACCUGUGCCUGUCAGUUCCUUUCCACUUGCCUCCUCCCGUGACAGUCUGGCUCAUGUUUCUUCAUAAAGCUCUAAGCCAGUUAUUAAUAACAGCCCAGCGAGUCUCCGGAUCCACCUAAGAGCAUGUGGUGUUUUUCACAAAAGAGAAGAGAGAUCAUCUCCUUGACUUGGGACUUUGCUUGCGGAGCCCUGAACAGAGGACCUGCUCCGUCCUUGGGAGCUCAGCUGAAACCAGACGAUCCAGUCGUUCUCCAGGACCAGCGUAGCUUCCUGCUAAGGGGACCGAGGUUGCUAAGAGUCCACCUGUGCUGA
RNAcentral lists this long non-coding RNA (377 nucleotides) under Ursus americanus (American black bear). Its description in RNAcentral is "lncRNA (ENSUAMG00000005579.1)". Lineage: Eukaryota; Metazoa; Chordata; Mammalia; Carnivora; Ursidae. The record is from RNAcentral.